This 253-nucleotide ribosomal RNA is filed under the name uncultured bacterium. RNAcentral describes it as "partial 16S ribosomal RNA". It matches the Rfam family "Bacterial small subunit ribosomal RNA", at positions 524 to 776 of the family's 1533-position model. The record is from RNAcentral.
UACGAAGGGGGCUAGCGUUGCUCGGAAUUACUGGGCGUAAAGGGAGCGUAGGCGGACAUUUAAGUCAGGGGUGAAAUCCUGGAGCUCAACUCCAGAACUGCCUUUGAUACUGGCAAUCUAGAGUCCGGAAGAGGUAAGUGGAACUCCUAGUGUAGAGGUGGAAUUCGUAGAUAUUCGGAAGAACACCAGUGGCGAAGGCGACAUACUGGCUCAUUACUGACGCUGAGGCUCGAAAGCGUGGGGAGCAAACAGG